UACGGAGGGUGCAAGCGUUAAUCGGAAUUACUGGGCGUAAAGCGCACGCAGGCGGUGAUACAAGUCAGAUGUGAAAGCCCCGGGCUUAACCUGGGAAUUGCAUUUGAAACUGUAUCGCUAGAGUGUGGGAGAGGAAAGCGGAAUUCCGGGUGUAGCGGUGAAAUGCGUAGAUAUCCGGAAGAACAUCGAUGGCGAAGGCAGCUUUCUGGACCAACACUGACGCUCAGGUGCGAAAGCGUGGGGAGCAAACAGG
This 253-nucleotide ribosomal RNA is filed under the name uncultured bacterium. Its description in RNAcentral is "partial 16S ribosomal RNA". It matches the Rfam family "Bacterial small subunit ribosomal RNA", at positions 524 to 776 of the family's 1533-position model. The record is from RNAcentral.